GGCCUCAGCCGGCGCACCUGGCGGAGGAGGAACCUCGCGACGCGCUCUCGGGCAUCGGUUUCUCCCAGCAAAGCUUGGAGGGUUUAGCUGCGCGGAGAGCUCAGCGAGCUCUUCUGUGUCUGUUUGGGGCGUGUGGGCUCCGGGAGCGUGAGGACCGGGAAGCUAGGAGGCUCCUUCCCUUCUGGCGGCUCCCUCACUGAGACCGGGCGGUUUGGUUGCGGGGGAAGUGGAGACGAGCCGCCCUUGACCUUUGACUGCAAGAACUCGCCUUGAGCAGGAUAGAGGCACGUGGACGGUGACCCUCGGGAUGCAAUAAAUGCUGAGACAGAUCAGCAAACAUUGAGUGGGCCAGACACUGUUCUGAAAAAUACGCAGUCGACUUUUGAACAGCACAGGCUUGAACUGCAUGCGGCCACUAAUACUCGGACUUUCUUCUGCCUUUGCCACCCCUAAGACAGCAAGACCCACCCCUCCUGCUCCUCAGCCUACUCGAUGUGAUGAUGUCUGGCUUCCUUUUCCCUUCAAUGGAAUAACAUAUACAAACUCUACCUAGGAGUGCUGUGUGAAGUACAUGCCAGCCUACAAGACAUGUCUCUAACCAAGUCGAAAGAGUGCAGUAUUCAUUCAUUCACUCAUUCAUUCAUUCAACAAAUGUUUAUUAAUAGGUAU
RNAcentral lists this non-coding RNA (669 nucleotides) under Pan troglodytes (chimpanzee). The record is from RNAcentral. Lineage: Eukaryota; Metazoa; Chordata; Mammalia; Primates; Hominidae.